Molecule: ribosomal RNA, 464 nt
Filed under: uncultured bacterium
Lineage: Bacteria
Description: partial 16S ribosomal RNA
Rfam family: Bacterial small subunit ribosomal RNA
Source: RNAcentral
GACGAACGCUGGCGGCGUGCUUAACACAUGCAAGUCGAACGGUAAGGCCCUUUCGGGGGUACACGAGUGGCGAACGGGUGAGUAACACGUGGGUGAUCUGCCCUGCACUUUGGGAUAAGCCUGGGAAACUGGGUCUAAUACCGGAUAGGACUACGCGAUGCAUGUCGUGUGGUGGAAAGCUUUUGCGGUGUGGGAUGGGCCCGCGGCCUAUCAGCUUGUUGGUGGGGUGAUGGCCUACCAAGGCGACGACGGGUAGCCGGCCUGAGAGGGUGUCCGGCCAAACUGGGAAUGGGAUACGGCCCAGAAUCCUACGGGAGGCAGCAGGGGGGAAUAUUGCAAAAAGGGCGCAAGCCUGAUGCAGCGACGCCGCGUGGGGGAUGACGGCCUUCGGGUUGUAAACCCCUUUCAGCACAGACGAAGCGUAAGUGACGGUAUGUGCAGAAGAAGCACCGGCCAACUACGUG